Molecule: long non-coding RNA, 1680 nt
Organism: Armigeres subalbatus
Lineage: Eukaryota; Metazoa; Arthropoda; Insecta; Diptera; Culicidae
Exons: 2
Source: RefSeq, a predicted model, not a curated record
AAGACUAAUUACAUAGACCCCAAAUUGUGAGACUAUGCAUGUAGUAGAAAAAUGGGUAGAAUAAUUGUAUGUCAAUUAUCGAUAUGAGAUUAUUCUACCCUCACCGUGUAAAUGUACUAACGUUACCAAACGACGACUCGCCUUUGGGCGAAAUACCGCGGAGGCAACCCGAGAUCCGGGGGCGAAGAAAGAAGAAAAGGGAAAGAGCGCAAUAGGAUUGUUGGAUCGAGAUCAGUCGGCUGUAAACCAUAAGGCAAGCAAGUCCAGCGAUAAAAGUUUUUAUUUCCUAAAACCACCGCCAAACCCGUGGGGCAGCAUUUUGAGCUGCCAGGUGAAGCCGGAGGUGAUUCCUCAUCUCGUCGAGGGCAGCAAGGACCGUGAGCAUCCCGAAAGAGUGUCCAUCGUCAGGAGCCCCGAUCCUGAUUCCCUAUUUGGAAGGGUUAUCGUGAGCCUCCUGGGAAGGCCAACAUAAAGUUGCUUUCGACAACACGUGCUGUUACCUACAUUCAGAAAGGCCGACGCGAGAACCCACGCCGUCGGUGCUCGCCAAUACUGUACAGAGACCAGCCAAGCUCUACGCCGUGGAAACGCAAGCACCAUUCCCGGCGGUCCGCCAAUCAUCGGUGGCAUCCUCUAGUGCAUGUUCUUCGGCUGAAUCACCCGUGUAGCCCAUCAGACCCACGUCGUCGGCGCUCGCCGAUACCGUACGGUGACCAGCCAAGCUCUACGCCGUGGAAACGCAACCACCAUUCCCGGCGGUCCGCCUAUCCUCGGUUGCAUCCUUUAGUGCUUGUUACUAUAAGUCCGUCUGAAUCACCCGGGUAGCCCACCAGAGGGUCCAAGCGAGCCCGGCCUGCACCUCGGAAGUCCGUCACUGCGUUAGGUGAAGGAGGGAUCGACUCGUAUUAUCAACCAAGCCACGCCGAAUCCACGAGCACUCGCAGGGCUCUUUCGGCCGUUAACGAACGCGACACGGAGCCACAGCGACAAUCGACAGCCGAACCCCCAACCAUCGUUGAAGCCCUCGGCUCGUAUAGGAUACGAACCGAACCUAGGCCACCCCGCGAAGUCUGACAUGCAGUCGGGGCGACACCUCCCCCGAAGAGAUCAAGGUUGAUUGUAGGUCAUCUAGAUUUUGGUGGAGUGACGGAAUUGCAAGCAAAACUUCCGGCUCUACCUAAGCAACAUGAGUCUCAACGAACAGCGACGAAUAUUUUCCUCCUGCCGUGCCACCUCGAUGCCACCAGCAGUAACAGCAUGGCGAACACUAAGUUCAUCCGGUACUGGAAGUCUUGACUGGACCAUCGGAGAAGUAAAGCAGAUUACAGAUUCUGUGACCAAUUGACAUUACGGCAUGCUUUUACCGCAGAAUGCUCCUCGGAAUGCUCUCAACAUGUAAUGCACACAAUAAAAAUUUAAUAAAUACAGACCGCUAAUUAAACGAGAUUCUUAGUUUCAUGCAACAUUUUCCCAUUUCUGAUGUUUCAAUUUGUUUAUUUUGAUAGCUAUGAAAAGUCGAUUGGUUGAAUAAACUUAAUUUAAUCCUCACUGGAUAAACUUUGAUUAAUCAUUUCAAAUGAUUAAACUUAAAUUAAUCAUUCGCAGCUUAUUAUCAUAUUAAGCAUUACAAUGAGUGGAUAGAUCGAAUAGGGUUUUAGAUUAAACUUUAAUCUAUUUAGC